UCCUACGGGGCGCAGCAGUAGGGAAUCUUCCACAAUGGACGAAAGUCUGAUGGAGCAACGCCGCGUGAGUGAAGAAGGGUUUCGGCUCGUAAGGCUCUGUUGGUAGUGAAGAAAGAUAGAGGGAGUAACUGGCCUUUAUUUGACGGUAAUUACUUAGAAAGUCACGGCUAACUACGUGCCAGCAGCCGCGGUAAUACGUAGGUGGCAAGCGAUGUCCGGAUUUAUUGGGCGUAAAGCGAGGGCAGGCGGUU
Molecule: ribosomal RNA, 251 nt
Filed under: uncultured bacterium
Lineage: Bacteria
Description: partial 16S ribosomal RNA
Rfam family: Bacterial small subunit ribosomal RNA
Source: RNAcentral